Molecule: ribosomal RNA, 425 nt
Filed under: uncultured bacterium
Lineage: Bacteria
Description: partial 16S ribosomal RNA
Rfam family: Bacterial small subunit ribosomal RNA
Source: RNAcentral
GUGGGGAAUCUUGCGCAAUGGGCGAAAGCCUGACGCAGCCAUGCCGCGUGGAUGAUGAAGGUCUUAGGAUUGUAAAAUCCUUUCACCGGUGAAGAUAAUGACUGUAGCCGGAGAAGAAGCCCCGGCUAACUUCGUGCCAGCAGCCGCGGUAAUACGAAGGGGGCUAGCGUUGCUCGGAUUUACUGGGCGUAAGGGGCGCGUAGGCGGACAUUUAAGUCAGGGGUGAAAUCCCGGGGCUCAACCUCGGAACUGCCUUUGAUACUGGGUGUCUUGAGUGUGAGAGAGGUGUGUGGAACUCCGAGUGUAGAGGUGAAAUUCGUAGAUAUUCGGAAGAACACCAGUGGCGAAGGCGACACACUGGCACAUUACUGACGCUGAGGCGCGAAAGCGUGGGGAGCAAACAGGAUUAGAAACCCGGGUAGUCC